Molecule: ribosomal RNA, 2909 nt
Filed under: Bacillus cereus AH187
Lineage: Bacteria; Bacillati; Bacillota; Bacilli; Caryophanales; Bacillaceae
Description: bacterial LSU rRNA
Rfam family: Bacterial large subunit ribosomal RNA
Source: RNAcentral
GGGCGCACGGUGGAUGCCUUGACACUAGGAGUCGAUGAAGGACGGGACUAACGCCGAUAUGCUUCGGGGAGCUGUAAGUAAGCUUUGAUCCGAAGAUUUCCGAAUGGGGAAACCCACCAUACGUAAUGGUAUGGUAUCCUUAUCUGAAUACAUAGGGUAAGGAAGACAGACCCAGGGAACUGAAACAUCUAAGUACCUGGAGGAAGAGAAAGCAAAUGCGAUUUCCUGAGUAGCGGCGAGCGAAACGGAACAUAGCCCAAACCAAGAGGCUUGUCUCUUGGGGUUGUAGGACAUUCUAUACGGAGUUACAAAGGAACGAGGUAGACGAAGCGACCUGGAAAGGUCCGUCGUAGAGGGUAACAACCCCGUAGUCGAAACUUCGUUCUCUCUUGAAUGUAUCCUGAGUACGGCGGAACACGUGAAAUUCCGUCGGAAUCUGGGAGGACCAUCUCCCAAGGCUAAAUACUCCCUAGUGAUCGAUAGUGAACCAGUACCGUGAGGGAAAGGUGAAAAGCACCCCGGAAGGGGAGUGAAAGAGAUCCUGAAACCGUGUGCCUACAAAUAGUCAGAGCCCGUUAACGGGUGAUGGCGUGCCUUUUGUAGAAUGAACCGGCGAGUUACGAUCCCGUGCGAGGUUAAGCUGAAGAGGCGGAGCCGCAGCGAAAGCGAGUCUGAAUAGGGCGUUUAGUACGUGGUCGUAGACCCGAAACCAGGUGAUCUACCCAUGUCCAGGGUGAAGUUCAGGUAACACUGAAUGGAGGCCCGAACCCACGCACGUUGAAAAGUGCGGGGAUGAGGUGUGGGUAGCGGAGAAAUUCCAAUCGAACCUGGAGAUAGCUGGUUCUCCCCGAAAUAGCUUUAGGGCUAGCCUUAAGUGUAAGAGUCUUGGAGGUAGAGCACUGAUUGGACUAGGGGUCCUCAUCGGAUUACCGAAUUCAGUCAAACUCCGAAUGCCAAUGACUUAUCCUUAGGAGUCAGACUGCGAGUGAUAAGAUCCGUAGUCAAAAGGGAAACAGCCCAGACCGCCAGCUAAGGUCCCAAAGUGUGUAUUAAGUGGAAAAGGAUGUGGAGUUGCUUAGACAACUAGGAUGUUGGCUUAGAAGCAGCCACCAUUUAAAGAGUGCGUAAUAGCUCACUAGUCGAGUGACUCUGCGCCGAAAAUGUACCGGGGCUAAAUACACCACCGAAGCUGCGGAUUGAUACCGAAUGGUAUCAGUGGUAGGGGAGCGUUCUAAGGACAGUGAAGUCAGACCGGAAGGACUGGUGGAGUGCUUAGAAGUGAGAAUGCCGGUAUGAGUAGCGAAAGACGGGUGAGAAUCCCGUCCACCGAAUGCCUAAGGUUUCCUGAGGAAGGCUCGUCCGCUCAGGGUUAGUCAGGACCUAAGCCGAGGCCGACAGGCGUAGGCGAUGGACAACAGGUUGAUAUUCCUGUACCACCUCUUUAUCGUUUGAGCAAUGGAGGGACGCAGAAGGAUAGAAGAAGCGUGCGAUUGGUUGUGCACGUCCAAGCAGUUAGGCUGAUAAGUAGGCAAAUCCGCUUAUCGUAAAGGCUGAGCUGUGAUGGGGAAGCUCCUUAUGGAGCGAAGUCUUUGAUUCCCCGCUGCCAAGAAAAGCUUCUAGCGAGAUAAAAGGUGCCUGUACCGCAAACCGACACAGGUAGGCGAGGAGAGAAUCCUAAGGUGUGCGAGAGAACUCUGGUUAAGGAACUCGGCAAAAUGACCCCGUAACUUCGGGAGAAGGGGUGCUUUCUUAACGGAAAGCCGCAGUGAAUAGGCCCAAGCGACUGUUUAGCAAAAACACAGCUCUCUGCGAAGCCGUAAGGCGAAGUAUAGGGGGUGACACCUGCCCGGUGCUGGAAGGUUAAGGAGAGGGGUUAGCGUAAGCGAAGCUCUGAACUGAAGCCCCAGUAAACGGCGGCCGUAACUAUAACGGUCCUAAGGUAGCGAAAUUCCUUGUCGGGUAAGUUCCGACCCGCACGAAAGGUGUAACGAUUUGGGCACUGUCUCAACCAGAGACUCGGUGAAAUUAUAGUACCUGUGAAGAUGCAGGUUACCCGCGACAGGACGGAAAGACCCCGUGGAGCUUUACUGUAGCCUGAUAUUGAAUUUUGGUACAGUUUGUACAGGAUAGGCGGGAGCCUUUGAAACCGGAGCGCUAGCUUCGGUGGAGGCGCUGGUGGGAUACCGCCCUGACUGUAUUGAAAUUCUAACCUACGGGUCUUAUCGACCCGGGAGACAGUGUCAGGUGGGCAGUUUGACUGGGGCGGUCGCCUCCUAAAGUGUAACGGAGGCGCCCAAAGGUUCCCUCAGAAUGGUUGGAAAUCAUUCGUAGAGUGCAAAGGCAUAAGGGAGCUUGACUGCGAGACCUACAAGUCGAGCAGGGACGAAAGUCGGGCUUAGUGAUCCGGUGGUUCCGCAUGGAAGGGCCAUCGCUCAACGGAUAAAAGCUACCCCGGGGAUAACAGGCUUAUCUCCCCCAAGAGUCCACAUCGACGGGGAGGUUUGGCACCUCGAUGUCGGCUCAUCGCAUCCUGGGGCUGUAGUCGGUCCCAAGGGUUGGGCUGUUCGCCCAUUAAAGCGGUACGCGAGCUGGGUUCAGAACGUCGUGAGACAGUUCGGUCCCUAUCCGUCGUGGGCGUAGGAAAUUUGAGAGGAGCUGUCCUUAGUACGAGAGGACCGGGAUGGACGCACCGCUGGUGUACCAGUUGUUCUGCCAAGGGCAUAGCUGGGUAGCUAUGUGCGGAAGGGAUAAGUGCUGAAAGCAUCUAAGCAUGAAGCCCCCCUCAAGAUGAGAUUUCCCAUAGCGUAAGCUAGUAAGAUCCCUGAAAGAUGAUCAGGUUGAUAGGUUCGAGGUGGAAGCAUGGUGACAUGUGGAGCUGACGAAUACUAAUAGAUCGAGGACUUAACCAU